Molecule: ribosomal RNA, 863 nt
Filed under: Mycobacterium tuberculosis
Lineage: Bacteria; Bacillati; Actinomycetota; Actinomycetes; Mycobacteriales; Mycobacteriaceae
Description: bacterial LSU rRNA
Rfam family: Bacterial large subunit ribosomal RNA
Source: RNAcentral
ACCGAUGAGUACAGCUUGGGAGACAGAGCACCGGGUGCUAACGUCCGGACUCAAGAGGGAAACAACCCAGACCGCCAGCUAAGGUCCCUAAAAUUGGCUAAGUGGGAAACGAAGUGGGAAGGCUAAAACAGUCAGGAUGUUGGCUUAGAAGCAGCCAUCAUUUAAAGAAAGCGUAAUAGCUCACUGAUCGAGUCGUCCUGCGCGGAAGAUGUAACGGGGCUAAGCCAGUUACCGAAGCUGCGGAUUUGCAAUUUAUUGCAAGUGGUAGGAGAGCGUUCUGUAAGCCUGUGAAGGUGCGUUGUAAAGCGUGCUGGAGGUAUCAGAAGUGCGAAUGCUGACAUGAGUAGCGUUAAAGGGGGUGAAAAGCCCCCUCGCCGUAAGCGCAAGGUUUUCUACGCAACGUUCAUCGGCGUAGAGUGAGUCGGCCCCUAAGGCGAGGCAGAGAUGCGUAGCUGAUGGGAAACAGGUCAAUAUUCCUGUACCGAUGUGUAGUGCGAUGUGGGGACGGAUCUUAAUAGGUCAUCCGGGUGUUGGAUAUCCCGGUUUAGUUGGAAGUAGGCGUGCAUUAGGCAAAUCCGGUGCACAUAUACCGAGGCCAACGAUCGAGCCAGCUUGCUGGUGAAGUGACUGAACGAGGUUCCAGGAAAAGCCACUAAGCUUCAGCUACACACGACCGUACCGCAAACCGACACUGGUGCGCGAGAUGAGUAUUCUAAGGCGCUUGAGAGAACUCAGGAGAAGGAACUCGGCAAAUUGACACCGUAACUUCGGAAGAAGGUGUGCCCUAUUAGUGUGAAGUGAACAACGGAGCAUGAAUGGGUUGCAAAAAAUCGGUGGCUGCGACUGUUUAUUAAAAACACAGC